CAGUAGCCGCGGUAAUACGAAGGGUGCAAGCGUUACUCGGAAUUACUGAGCGUAAAGCGUGCGUAGGUGGUGGUUUAAGUCCGUUGUGAAAGCCCUGGGCUCAACCUGGGAAUUGCAGUGGAUACUGGGUCACUAGAGUGUGGUAGAGGAUAGUGGAAUUUCCGGUGUAGCAGUGAAAUGCGUAGAGAUCGGAAGGAACAUCUGUGGCGAAGGCGACUAUCUGGGCCAACACUGACACUGAGGCACGAAAGCGUGGGGAGCAAACAGGAUUAGAUACCCCAGUAGUCCCUGUCUCUUAUAC
This 301-nucleotide ribosomal RNA is filed under the name uncultured bacterium. RNAcentral's name for it is "partial 16S ribosomal RNA". It matches the Rfam family "Bacterial small subunit ribosomal RNA", at positions 509 to 807 of the family's 1533-position model. The record is from RNAcentral.